UACGAAGGGGGCUAGCGUUGCUCGGAAUCACUGGGCGUAAAGCGCACGUAGGCGGAUUGCUAAGUCAGGGGUGAAAUCCUGGAGCUCAACUCCAGAACUGCCUUUGAUACUGGCGAUCUCGAGUCCGGGAGAGGUGAGUGGAACUGCGAGUGUAGAGGUGAAAUUCGUAGAUAUUCGCAAGAACACCAGUGGCGAAGGCGGCUCACUGGCUCGAUACUGACGCUGAGGUGCGAAAGCGUGGGGAGCAAACAGG
RNAcentral lists this ribosomal RNA (253 nucleotides) under uncultured bacterium. RNAcentral's name for it is "partial 16S ribosomal RNA". It matches the Rfam family "Bacterial small subunit ribosomal RNA", at positions 524 to 776 of the family's 1533-position model. The record is from RNAcentral.